CACGUAGGGGGCAAGCGUUGUCCGGAUUUAUUGGGCGUAAAGAGCUCGUAGGCGGCUCAGUAAGUCGGGUGUGAAACCUCCAGGCUCAACCUGGAGACGCCACCCGAUACUGCUGUGGCUUGAGUCCGGUAGGGGAGCGUGGAAUUCCUGGUGUAGCGGUGAAAUGCGCAGAUAUCAGGAGGAACACCAGCGGCGAAGGCGGCGCUCUGGGCCGGAACUGACGCUGAGGAGCGAAAGCGUGGGGAGCGAACAGG
This 254-nucleotide ribosomal RNA is filed under the name uncultured bacterium. RNAcentral's name for it is "partial 16S ribosomal RNA". It matches the Rfam family "Bacterial small subunit ribosomal RNA", at positions 524 to 776 of the family's 1533-position model. The record is from RNAcentral.